This 172-nucleotide ribosomal RNA is filed under the name uncultured bacterium. RNAcentral describes it as "partial 16S ribosomal RNA". It matches the Rfam family "Bacterial small subunit ribosomal RNA", at positions 338 to 525 of the family's 1533-position model. The record is from RNAcentral.
CCUACGGGAGGCAGCAGUGGGGAAUAUUGGGCAAUGGACGCAAGUCUGACCCAGCAACGCCGCGUGAAGGAAGAAGGCUUUCGGGUUGUAAACUUCUUUUAUCAGGGAAGAGCUCAAGACGGUACCUGAUGAAUAAGCCACGGCUAACUACGUGCCAGCAGCCGCGGUAAUA